GCUGGCAAAGCACAAGUGGACGUGCGGCCGAUUUGUAAUCGGCAGGGUGCGGGUUCGAGGCCCGCUGCCAGCCCCA
This 76-nucleotide transfer RNA is filed under the name Candidatus Gemmiger avicola. RNAcentral describes it as "tRNA-Thr". It matches the Rfam family "tRNA". Rfam says of the family: Transfer RNA (tRNA) molecules are approximately 80 nucleotides in length. Their secondary structure includes four short double-helical elements and three loops (D, anti-codon, and T loops). Lineage: Bacteria; Bacillati; Bacillota; Clostridia; Eubacteriales; Oscillospiraceae. The record is from RNAcentral.